RNAcentral lists this long non-coding RNA (263 nucleotides) under Apteryx rowi (Okarito brown kiwi). Its description in RNAcentral is "lncRNA (ENSARWG00000002382.1)". Lineage: Eukaryota; Metazoa; Chordata; Aves; Apterygiformes; Apterygidae. The record is from RNAcentral.
CACAACUUCUGCCUCCCUAAUCAACAUAACCUGGAACAGCAAAAUAUCUCUUCUGCAGAUCUAUUUGCAAAAGGAGGCUUGCGAAAAUGCAGCUAGCAAAGGAUACAAAAGAAACUAGAAGAACUGCAGCUGCUGAACGUACACUUCCUCCCUGCCUGAUCACAGAYGAAAGCACUGCGGGGGCCGGGAGAGCAGUUAGGGCCUUCUCCAGAAGUCAAGGGCCUGAUUUGCUCAGGAAACGAACAAACAAGCAAACAAUGGAU